UGGAGAGAGCGAUAUUGGGGAGGUUCAAUCCGAUGAAAUGGGAUUUACGCCGUCCGUCGUAAACCUAACAUAUCUGAUUGAGCCGCGCCAAUAUCACUUCCUUCAAC
Triticum aestivum (bread wheat) is the source of this 107-nucleotide non-coding RNA. The record is from Rfam. NCBI's taxonomy places the organism in Eukaryota, Viridiplantae, Streptophyta, Magnoliopsida, Poales, Poaceae.